AUUGAACGCUGGCGGCAUGCCUUACACAUGCAAGUCGAACGGCAGCACGGGUGCUUGCCCCUGGUGGCGAGUGGCGAACGGGUGAGUAAUACAUCGGAACAUGUCCUGUAGUGGGGGAUAGCCCGGCGAAAGCCGGAUUAAUACCGCAUACGAUCCACGGAUGAAAGCGGGGGGCCUUCGGGCCUCGCGCUAUAGGGUUGGCCGAUGGCUGAUUAGCUAGUUGGUGGGGUAAAGGCCUACCAAGGCGACGAUCAGUAGCUGGUCUGAGAGGACGACCAGCCACACUGGGACUGAGACACGGCCCAGACUCCUACGGGAGGCAGCAGUGGGGAAUUUUGGACAAUGGGCGAAAGCCUGAUCCAGCAAUGCCGCGUGUGUGAAGAAGGCCUUCGGGUUGUAAAGCACUUUUGUCCGGAAAGAAAUCCUUGACUCUAAUACAGUCGGGGGAUGACGGUACCAGAAGAAUAAGCACCGGCUAACUACGUG
RNAcentral lists this ribosomal RNA (486 nucleotides) under uncultured bacterium. Its description in RNAcentral is "partial 16S ribosomal RNA". It matches the Rfam family "Bacterial small subunit ribosomal RNA", at positions 30 to 507 of the family's 1533-position model. The record is from RNAcentral.